UCCCUGGUAGCCAAGCGGUUAAGGAUUCGGUGUUGUCACCGCCAUGGCUCGGGUUCGAUCCCUGGCCUGGGAA
RNAcentral lists this transfer RNA (73 nucleotides) under Sus scrofa (pig). It matches the Rfam family "tRNA". Rfam says of the family: Transfer RNA (tRNA) molecules are approximately 80 nucleotides in length. Their secondary structure includes four short double-helical elements and three loops (D, anti-codon, and T loops). The record is from Rfam by way of RNAcentral. Lineage: Eukaryota; Metazoa; Chordata; Mammalia; Artiodactyla; Suidae.